UUUUUUUUUUUUUUUUUUGUCAUUUUUUGGUUAUGCCAGGUGUCUCCUGUGUGUCCCUCCAGAUCCCUCUCCAGCCCUAGAAACCUAAGCUCUAUAAAUGUUGCCUCUCUCCACUCAUCUUCUCUUUGGCUUCAGGUUGAGUUCAGCCAACAGAUGCCCCUGUAGGAUUUGGACACAGGGAGCCAGGGGAGAGGGGCAUCUGCUGCCUGGUUAGCAGGGCUGUGAUGAUUCUUCUACCUGUGACUCUCACUGCUGUGGACAGCCCGUUGCCUCUUCCUCUGGAUUUUGGAAGCUUCCAUGCCGAGGUCUGAAGGUUCCCACGGCUGCCUCUUUGCCCAAGGGGCAAACUUUCCAUCAGGGCAUCUUCUGUGCCUCUGAGGAUCAUUUGCCAAUUAUAGGCAAUGGUAGUACGUGUUUCAGUGCAGAAUGAGAUACAGUCAUUUAAUUUGACAAUAAAGCGAUGCAUCAAAAACCUCAGUCAACACAGUAAGUGUUUUCUUGUUUUCCUGCUGACCAACCUAAUUCUGGUUUCAUACAGGGCAGCCAGGUGUCCACCUAAAAGACUGCACUUCUCAACUUCCAGUUGUUUCUAUGGAUAAUGGUUGGAAGCAGAAAUUGGGUUUGGGCUUCCAGAUAAUCCCCCCUCACAGGGACUGCUUCAAGAGAAAGGGAGCCCUUUGGUUCUUUCUCCUUUCCACUGCCUGGAAUGUGAUGUCUGGCACUGUGGCAGCCACACUGGCGUAAUGAGGCCAACUCUCUGCCAUGCUAAGAGUGGCAGAGCUGGGAAUUGAAAAGAGCCUGCUAGUCUUGGGUUGCUUCCCCUUGA
This 826-nucleotide non-coding RNA is filed under the name Pongo abelii (Sumatran orangutan). Lineage: Eukaryota; Metazoa; Chordata; Mammalia; Primates; Hominidae. The record is from RNAcentral.